This 464-nucleotide ribosomal RNA is filed under the name uncultured bacterium. RNAcentral's name for it is "bacterial SSU rRNA". It matches the Rfam family "Bacterial small subunit ribosomal RNA", at positions 28 to 507 of the family's 1533-position model. The record is from RNAcentral.
GACGAACGCUGGCGGCGUGGAUUAGGCAUGCAAGUCGGACGGUAGAGCUUUAUCGUAAGAUAGAGUUUGAGAGUGGCGAACGGGUGAGUAACACGUAGGAAUCUACCCUUAAGACGGGGACAACCCAGGGAAACUUGGGCUAAUACCGGAUGAGAGUGCGAGAGAUUGCAUUUAAAAGGAUGGCGAAAGUUGUCGCUUAGGGAUGAGCCUGCGGUCUAUUAGUUAGUUGGUGAGGUAAGAGCUCACCAAGGCGAUGAUAGAUAGGCGGCCUUAACGGGUGGUCGCCCACACUGGGAUUGAGAUACGGCCCAGACUCCUACGGGAGGCAGCAGUAGGGAAUAUUGCGCAAUGGGGGGAACCCUGACGCAGCGACGCCGCGUGAGCGAAGAAGGCCUCGGUCGUAAGCUCUGUCCUAUGGGAAGAAUAGGACGGUACCAUAGGAGGAAGCCCCGGCUAACUACGUG